This 253-nucleotide ribosomal RNA is filed under the name uncultured bacterium. RNAcentral's name for it is "partial 16S ribosomal RNA". It matches the Rfam family "Bacterial small subunit ribosomal RNA", at positions 524 to 776 of the family's 1533-position model. The record is from RNAcentral.
UACAGAGGUCUCGAGCGUUAGGCGGAAUCACUGGGCUUAAAGCGUGUGUAGGCGGAUCGUUAAGUGCCUUGUGAAAUCCCACGGCUCAACCGUGGAACUGCUUGGCAUACUGGCGGUCUUGAGCAACCUAGGGGCGAGCGGAACAAAUGGUGGAGCGGUGAAAUGCGUAGAUAUCAUUUGGAACGCCAAUGGUGAAAACAGCUCGCUGGGGGUUUGCUGACGCUGAGACACGAAAGCCAGGGGAGCGAACGGG